ACCUGGGUGGCUCAGUCAGUUGAGCAUCUGACUUUGGCUCAGGUCGUGAUCCCACAGUUCAUGGGUUCGAGCCCCACAUCAGGCU
Felis catus (domestic cat) is the source of this 85-nucleotide transfer RNA. It matches the Rfam family "tRNA". From Rfam's summary of the family: Transfer RNA (tRNA) molecules are approximately 80 nucleotides in length. Their secondary structure includes four short double-helical elements and three loops (D, anti-codon, and T loops). NCBI's taxonomy places the organism in Eukaryota, Metazoa, Chordata, Mammalia, Carnivora, Felidae. The record is from Rfam.